GCGUUGUUCGGAAUUAUUGGGCGUAAAGCGCGUGUAGGCGGUGAUGCAUGUCGGGUGUGAAAGCCCUCAGCUCAACUGAGGAAGUGCGCCCGAAACUGCAUCGCCGGAGUGCCGGAGAGGAAGGCGGAAUUCCCGGUGUAGAGGUGAAAUUCGUAGAUAUCGGGAGGAACACCAGUGGCGAAGGCGGCCUUCUGGACGGACACUGACGCUGAGACGCGAAAGCGUG
Molecule: ribosomal RNA, 226 nt
Filed under: uncultured bacterium
Lineage: Bacteria
Description: partial 16S ribosomal RNA
Rfam family: Bacterial small subunit ribosomal RNA
Source: RNAcentral